GUGAAACAUGGACAGGACAAUGAUCUUUCAGAAUUUGAUGAAUCAAGGGACAUAAUUGAGAGUUUGGUUGACGAAUACAAAGCAUGUGAAUCCCCGGAUUACAUCAAAUGGGGAAUGGAGGAUCCAGACCACGUUCUGACUGGAGAAGGCAGUGUUACAGGAACAGUGGAUCCAAAACUUGCAGUGUGAAUUAAACAAGUUACCCGGAGGGAACAUAGUAAAAUGGGACUGAUACAUUUGUGUUCUGGUUUUUGCCGCCAUGGUAAACAUGGUACAUCUCGUUUUUUGGUGUUUUAUCUGUUAAAAUGAGUAUAUUGAUUCUUAUUGUAUAUAUGGUUUUUAAAGUACUACUAAAGGCCUGUUUGGUAA
This is a non-coding RNA of Camellia sinensis, 369 nucleotides long. The record is from RefSeq and is a predicted model, not a curated record. NCBI's taxonomy places the organism in Eukaryota, Viridiplantae, Streptophyta, Magnoliopsida, Ericales, Theaceae.